Molecule: long non-coding RNA, 268 nt
Filed under: Zostera marina
Lineage: Eukaryota; Viridiplantae; Streptophyta; Magnoliopsida; Alismatales; Zosteraceae
Description: long non-coding RNA (ZMAR_LNC002270)
Source: RNAcentral
GUAGACCAAAUAAGGCCUCCCGCCAAAACAAAAAAGCCUAAGGGCAUCAAGGUCGAAGGACCAAAUAAGGUCUCCCGCCAAAAUAAAAACCUAAGGGCAUCAAGGCCAAAAGACCAAAUAAGGCUACCCGCCAAAAUAAAGAAAUCCUGAAGCAACAGACUACCACCAAAAGGCCGCAAGGAAACGUCAACGAAGAAUCAAAGAAACAUGUCAAAAAGCACGUGUGAGCCGAGGGGCAAGAAAAACAAGGAAGGAUGAAAGAAAAAAN